RNAcentral lists this signal recognition particle RNA (99 nucleotides) under Treponema sp. Its description in RNAcentral is "signal recognition particle sRNA small type". It matches the Rfam family "Bacterial small signal recognition particle RNA". From Rfam's summary of the family: The signal recognition particle (SRP) is a universally conserved ribonucleoprotein involved in the co-translational targeting of proteins to membranes. Archaeal SRP consists of a 7S RNA and homologues of the eukaryotic SRP19 and SRP54 proteins. Lineage: Bacteria; Pseudomonadati; Spirochaetota; Spirochaetia; Treponematales; Treponemataceae. The record is from RNAcentral.
GUCCAGGCGCUAUGCAAAAAGCCGCUUUCAAACCCCGUCAGGUCCGGAAGGAAGCAGCGGUAGAUUGCCGGUUUUUGUGCCGUAGUUUGCCUGGCCUCU